This is a non-coding RNA of Potamilus streckersoni, 73 nucleotides long. The record is from the annotation of a GenBank genome assembly. NCBI's taxonomy places the organism in Eukaryota, Metazoa, Mollusca, Bivalvia, Unionida, Unionidae.
GUUCUGGUGGCCUAGUGGUUAGAGUGUCCGCCUCAUGUGCGGGAGGUCAUGGGUUUGAUCCUCAGCCAAGUCU